This 539-nucleotide ribosomal RNA is filed under the name uncultured bacterium. RNAcentral's name for it is "bacterial SSU rRNA". It matches the Rfam family "Bacterial small subunit ribosomal RNA", at positions 135 to 658 of the family's 1533-position model. The record is from RNAcentral.
AGACUGGGAUAACUCCGGGAAACCGGGGCUAAUACCGGAUGCUUGAUUGAACCGCAUGGUUCAAUCAUAAAAGGUGGCUUUUAGCUACCACUUACAGAUGGACCCGCGGCGCAUUAGCUAGUUGGUGAGGUAACGGCUCACCAAGGCGACGAUGCGUAGCCGACCUGAGAGGGUGAUCGGCCACACUGGGACUGAGACACGGCCCAGACUCCUACGGGAGGCAGCAGUAGGGAAUCUUCCGCAAUGGACGAAAGUCUGACGGAACAACGCCGCGUGAGUGAUGAAGGUUUUCGGAUCGUAAAACUCUGUUGUUAGGGAAGAACAAGUACCGUUCGAAUAGGGCGGGACCUUGACGGGACCUAACCAGAAAGCCACGGCUAACUACGUGCCAACAGCCGCGGUAAUACGUAGGUGGCAAGCGUUGUCCGGAAUUAUUGGGCGUAAAGGGCGCGCAGGCGGUUUCUUAAGUCUGAUGUGAAAGCCCCCGGCUCAACCGGGGAGGGUCAUUGGAAACUGGGGAACUUGAGUGCAGAAGAGGA